CGUACAUACGUCACAAGUCACAAACCCACCUGCCUGUUUCUCCUCACUUCGCCUCAAGGCGUAGGCGUUCUGUCACCUCACAUCAUCACAAGAAGAAGGGAAGCAGUGUAUUUCGACGCUCUACUGCUCUAGCUGCAUUUAGUUAGGUGAGAGGCGGGUAAAGUGGCAAGGCUCCAUACCAUCACUGAUCCUACCCCUGCAUGUGCUGAAGCAGUAGGCAGAGAAGGCCUAAGACAGUUCACAAAGUGGCAUCAGAGAUGUACUGAGGGCUAGCUGAGAGUGCUACAUCCCAAGUGCCCUUGAUAUCAUGAUGAAGACACGGCUUCGGAAAGCUUUGCGGCCCAUGCAACUGAGAACCCGAUGGGGAUGCAGAAUUCUCAGAAGAUGCCAGCAUGGAGACCCAAGUGUGAGACCCAGGUGGAUGCAUGUCUCAAAAGGAGUCAGCAAGGUCAGACUCUAACCACUGACCAGACAAGCAUCCUGAAGCCAUAAUGCUACCUAGUAACACUGAACUUGGGUCUCACGCCUAAGAGGAAGAGAGAUGUGUAGUGGCAUCUACAGUGGGGUUCUUUUAGUCAGCCUUAGGGAGAUAUAAUCUAUGUGCAAUAAAACUUGCAAUUUUGAGAUACAAUUUGAUGAGUUUUUACAAAUAUUGACAGUUGAGUAAUCACUGCCACAAACAUUCCCAUGUGUAGAGAGCAAAAUGGAGUCUCUUGUGUCAAGCAGGGGCCUGUGUCAAGUGAUGAGACGCAAGCAGUUAAGGUACCGCAGCUAGGAGAUAUCGCUGAGACCAUCGUCAGCUGACGACACCCCUGCUGACCAAUGUCAGCAGACCUCUGCAGAGGACGUCUGCAGAGACCCCAAACUGAUUAAAUCCCUUUAAAAAGGAAAGGAUUUUGGCAGCAAACUGUCAGACUCUGCAGACCUGACCCCUCUACGUCUGACCACUUAAAAAAGGCAACUGCCGCUGAAGGCUCUGCCCGAUGGAUCUCCGAAUAGAGCCGAGAUCCUUCCCUGCUUGAACAUCAGAAGCAGUAAGUACGGAGCUGACCCGGACCCGACAGAGGCCUUAUCUCAGCUGCAUGCCCACAGACUGACGUCACGUUUGGUUUGGUUCACUUCCUGUCCCCUUCUGUUAUCUUGUUUGUUGUGUGGCUUGUCUUCUGUCCUGCUCUGUGUGCCAUGUAAGAAGCCAAGUUUAACCACAUGGGGAAAUGUCAUUGAGUUUGGAAUCCUGACCCUGCUUUAUAAUUGUGAUUUUGUUUUAUGAUUGAAUAAAGCUGACAUUGUGGAAAGACACAACUCAUGUGUGUGCCUUCCUAGCCUGCUCAUGACACCAUUGCUCCAAAAGUUGCCUUUGUGUACCUUUACAAUCCGUGCCCCCAUCUCUCCCCAUGCCUGCCAUCCCAAACACAUGGUAACAUCUAGUUUUGCCUUUUCCAGUAUUUUAUGUAAAUAGAAUCAUAGAUUUUUCUGGCUUCUGUAAUUUAGCAUAAGGUUUCUAAGGUUCAUCUACAUUGCUGUGGGCAUCAAUAUUUCAUUCCUUUUAUUGCCAAGUGGUAUCACACUGUACAAAUACACCACAAUUUAUUUGCUGAUUCACCAGUUGAUAGACAUUUGACUUGCUACUCCUGUUUGGCUAUUAUGAAUAAAGUUGCUAUAAACAUUUGA
Molecule: long non-coding RNA, 1671 nt
Organism: Ailuropoda melanoleuca (giant panda)
Lineage: Eukaryota; Metazoa; Chordata; Mammalia; Carnivora; Ursidae
Exons: 3
Source: RefSeq, a predicted model, not a curated record